RNAcentral lists this ribosomal RNA (400 nucleotides) under uncultured bacterium. Its description in RNAcentral is "bacterial SSU rRNA". It matches the Rfam family "Bacterial small subunit ribosomal RNA", at positions 355 to 747 of the family's 1533-position model. The record is from RNAcentral.
UGGGGAAUUUUGGACAAUGGGCGAAAGCCUGAUCCAGCCAUGCCGCGUGCAGGAUGAAGGCCUUCGGGUUGUAAACUGCUUUUGUACGGAACGAAAAGACUCUGGUUAAUACCUGGGGUCCAUGACGGUACCGUAAGAAUAAGCACCGGCUAACUACGUGCCAGCAGCCGCGGUAAUACGUAGGGUGCAAGCGUUAAUCGGAAUUACUGGGCGUAAAGCGUGCGCAGGCGGUUAUAUAAGACAGAUGUGAAAUCCCCGGGCUCAACCUGGGAACUGCAUUUGUGACUGUAUAGCUAGAGUACGGCAGAGGGGGAUGGAAUUCCGCGUGUAGCAGUGAAAUGCGUAGAUAUGCGGAGGAACACCGAUGGCGAAGGCAAUCCCCUGGGCCUGUACUGACGCU